RNAcentral lists this transfer RNA (76 nucleotides) under Bradyrhizobium sp. RNAcentral's name for it is "tRNA-Lys". It matches the Rfam family "tRNA". Rfam says of the family: Transfer RNA (tRNA) molecules are approximately 80 nucleotides in length. Their secondary structure includes four short double-helical elements and three loops (D, anti-codon, and T loops). RNAcentral also lists the same sequence under 17 other names. Lineage: Bacteria; Pseudomonadati; Pseudomonadota; Alphaproteobacteria; Hyphomicrobiales; Nitrobacteraceae. The record is from RNAcentral.
GGGUCGUUAGCUCAGCUGGUAGAGCAGCGGACUCUUAAUCCGUUGGUCGUAGGUUCGAUCCCUACACGGCCUACCA